GAACCAACCGGGAUUGCCUUAGUAACGGCGAGUGAAGCGGCAAAAGCUCAAAUUUGAAAUCUGGUACCUUCGGUGCCCGAGUUGUAAUUUGGAGAGGGCAACUUUGGGGCCGUUCCUUGUCUAUGUUCCUUGGAACAGGACGUCAUAGAGGGUGAGAAUCCCGUGUGGCGAGGAGUGCGGUUCUUUGUAAAGUGCCUUCGAAGAGUCGAGUUGUUUGGGAAUGCAGCUCUAAGUGGGUGGUAAAUUCCAUCUAAAGCUAAAUAUUGGCGAGAGACCGAUAGCGAACAAGUACAGUGAUGGAAAGAUGAAAAGAACUUUGAAAAGAGAGUGAAAAAGUACGUGAAAUUGUUGAAAGGGAAGGGCAUUUGAUCAGACAUGGUGUUUUGUGCCCUCUGCUCCUUGUGGGUAGGGGAAUCUCGCAUUUCACUGGGCCAGCAUCAGUUUUGGUGGCAGGAUAAAUCCAUAGGAAUGUAGCUUGCCUCGGUAAGUAUUAUAGCCUGUGGGAAUACUGCCAGCUGGGACUGAGGACUGCGACGUAAGUCAAGGAUGCUGGCAUAAUGGUUAUAUGCCGCCC
This 574-nucleotide ribosomal RNA is filed under the name Saccharomyces cerevisiae (brewer's yeast). RNAcentral describes it as "eukaryotic LSU rRNA". It matches the Rfam family "Eukaryotic large subunit ribosomal RNA", at positions 56 to 650 of the family's 3401-position model. Lineage: Eukaryota; Fungi; Ascomycota; Saccharomycetes; Saccharomycetales; Saccharomycetaceae. The record is from RNAcentral.